Molecule: ribosomal RNA, 498 nt
Filed under: uncultured bacterium
Lineage: Bacteria
Description: partial 16S ribosomal RNA
Rfam family: Bacterial small subunit ribosomal RNA
Source: RNAcentral
AUUGAACGCUGGCGGCAUGCUUUACACAUGCAAGUCGAACGGUAACAGGCCGCAAGGUGCUGACGAGUGGCGAACGGGUGAGUAAUGCAUCGGAACGUGCCCAGUCGUGGGGGAUAACGCAGCGAAAGCUGCGCUAAUACCGCAUACGAUCUAAGGAUGCAAGCGGGGGAUCGCAAGACCUCGCGCGAUUGGAGCGGCCGAUAUCAGAUUAGGUAGUUGGUGGGGUAAAGGCUCACCAAGCCAACGAUCUGUAGCUGGUCUGAGAGGACGACCAGCCACACUGGAACUGAGACACGGUCCAGACUCCUACGGGAGGCAGCAGUGGGGAAUUUUGGACAAUGGACGCAAGUCUGAUCCAGCCAUUCCGCGUGCAGGAUGAAGGCCCUCGGGUUGUAAACUGCUUUUGUACGGAACGAAAAGGUCUCUCUUAAUACGGGGGGCUCAUGACGGUACCGUAAGAAUAAGCACCGGCUAACUACGUGCCAGCCGCCGCGGUAA